UAAUCUAUUUGGGGCAAAUCCUCAUUUAGUUAUGACAGACUCAUACUUAACUGCUCAGAAUCACUUACUACUAUGUAAACAAUAACUUUUUAAGAUUUUAAUUGGAGU
Molecule: non-coding RNA, 108 nt
Organism: Populus trichocarpa (black cottonwood)
Lineage: Eukaryota; Viridiplantae; Streptophyta; Magnoliopsida; Malpighiales; Salicaceae
Source: Rfam